CAGCCAUUAGAGCUUUGCUUUUACAUUUUUACAUGUUUCAUUCUAAUCAGUACCACGCUUUGUACAAUAAUAGCACUAAAAUGCAUUUAUAUGCAAGGUGAAAAGUAAGUAUUACUUUGGAACCCAUUCAACUAAACAGGUGAGAUAUUAGAGCUUGAAGUGGAGAGGGUGAGCAGCUUUAAAUACCCAGUGGUCCACAUCAGCGAGGACCUCACCUGGACACUCAACACCAUCCAGCUGGUUAAGAAGGCACAACAGUGGUCCUACUCCCCGAGGAGGCUGAGGAAGUUUGGCAUGUCACUUAAGAUCCUUAACGUCUACAGCCGUGUUAUUGAGAUUGAUAUGGCAGCACUACUGUGAGGGAUCGUAGACAUUUGCAGAGAGUGGUGAAGACUGCUGAGAAGAUCAUCAGGACUCCAAUAACCUCUCUGAAGACACCACAGAGUCCACAGGAGAGCUGCCUCCAUCCUUAAGGACCCCACCCAUCCCCAACAUGGACUGUUUACACUCUUACCCUCAGGACAAAGGUACAGGGGUGUGAAAUGCAGGACUUCCAGAUUAAGGGACUCAUCUUUCCCUCAGCUAUUAGACUUUUAAAUAGGUAGCCAGAAUCUAUCACAUAGAUUAGUUGGACUAAAUUGCUCCUUCUCAUUUUGCACACUUGUUAAUGUUACUGCUGCUAUUAUUAUCAAGUAGCUGCAUUUCAAUUGCACAUUGUUAAUGCUGCCGCUACUAUUAUCUACAGCUGCAUUCAGUUUGCACAUGUUACUAUAGUACUAUUGUUUUGCACAUAAGUGAAUAUUGCAAUAUAAGUCAGUAUUGUACACUUGCACAUACAGAUAUACAUAGUCUAUAUCUCUAAUUCUACAGCAUAGUUUUAAUUUUAUUUUUAACAUAUAGUUUUUGUACUUGCCUUGGCACUCACCAGGGACAGCUAAGAAAUUUCACUGUACAGGAAAACCUGUCUUCCUCACUUUGCACACGACAAUAAACACUUUGAAUCUUUAGUCUCGGUUACUGUAUAAUACAGCUGUACUAUAAUAACUAUAAUAACUAGUUUAGGCACCAAUCAAACAUGCAAACAGCACUCAAUUAUUUACAGCUACUACACAAUUUCUAAAGCAGAACAGUGUGUUUCUUCUUACUGAGUAUUGUCUUCAAUGAGAAUGAACAGGAUUAUUGGAUAUUUUUUAUUUAUAAUUCUCCAAAUGGUUCUGCUUCUUUUGGAGUUGUGCCGAUUAUAUUUUUUUCCAAAAAAUACAUCACACCCCAUUGUUAGGUUUAUUGGGUAUAUUACGUACUGGACAUACACUACCGCUCAAAAGUUUGGGAUCACUUGCAUAUUUCAGCUACGGAGGGAGACUCUAUCAGCCAAUCCAUCUUGUGGGAGAUGCCCCAGAAAGCAUGGGGUGAAAUCUUAUCAGACUAUCUUGAAAAAUUAACAGCUAGGAUGCCCAGGCUGUAAUUCCUGCAAAAGGUGUUUUUUUUGAUGAAGGCAAAGUUUAAAGAAAACCUUCAUUUCCAUCAAAAUCAUUAUUUCUAACUCUGACAUGUCAGCAUGUCCUGUUCUUUUGCUAUAUUUUCUAUUCAGACUAAUUUCGUGUUUCCUUGGAAAACUAACAUUUUUGAGCGAUCCCAAACUUUUGAGCAGUAGUGUACAUUGACAUUUUGAAAUAUUUACACAUAAACUCAACAUAGUAUGAAACUAGAAGCAAGAACAUUUUUAUUCUUAAAUCAUUAAAAAAAAAAAACAAUGGUUAAAUGUGUUUAAACACACAAACAAAAAAUAAAAAAAAGUUGCAUACAAAGUACUCUGUCCAACAUUUAUACACAAACUGAAGAGAUGCACAACUGGCACAUCAUCCGUACAACAUGAAAUGAACUACGAUCCAUUAACGUGCAUGUCUUCCUCUCCGUUUUCCACUCCAUCAUCUUCCAUCUCGUCCCCACCGGCAGUGUUGUACAUGGACACAGACUCCUGCAUCCCCAUUUCAGGCUCAUCUUCCUCUUCUUCCUCGACCAUGCUCUGUGCACCUGGAAUAUUACGCAAAUGAACGUCACAGUGUGAACAAGACUGUCUCAACAACACACUUGUUUGAAUACAACGUUGUUUCUAUAGCGACGGCUCAUUAAUAGGGAUCAGUGUUUCUAUAGGAACGGCUCAUUAAGAGGGAUCAGUAUGGCUGACAUUCCACAUAAUCCAACACUAAUAAAUGGAUUAAAACCAUGGUGUCAGUUAACAAGGAAAAAUGUGAUCACUGAUACAGUGAAGGUUUCUGUAAGCAGACGUUUCUCUCAUAUUCAUAGGAGUCUCUAGUCAGUGCUUUGUUGCAUGCAGUUUGAGUUGGUCCAAUAUUUUUUGACAGGAUAAUCAGAUCCUCCCAAGUAUCAGCUUUAUACAUUUAUUUAGAUUAGAUAACUGAUGAGCUGACUCUACUUCAGCCGAUCGAACUGAGCUGACUUCUUUCCUGUUCACAUAGCUUCUUUGUGCCUGAGUGGCCCUUAAUGAAAUACAUUCUUUGCCAAACCAUAUUAGUGUUGUAGUUUUUAAUACCAGCUCUUCAAAAUGAGCAGUGCCACGAAAUUAAAGCCGGUGUAUUACCUUGUCUGCUUUCUCUUCCAGGGAUCUGACCAGACUGCAACAUUCCCUUCAACCUCUCCACUUCAGCCAGCGAUGUUGCAUUUGCGAUAGCAGCCUGUGGGCAAGAUGCCACUUUUAGCCAUUUAAUCAAUCGCAAUAAAUCACCCACACUUCAUUAUCGGAACAGAAACAAAAUCAGUAACCUUAAUGGCUUCCACGUCUGCCGCAGAAGGCCCCGUUUUUACUUUCUCAGCCUGCAGUCCGGCUCCUGGCGUGAACCUGAAACACACACACACAAGGUUUCUCAGGGGCUUGUUCAGGCAGACCUGCUCCUUCAGCCUUUUAACCACUGUUCUUUCAGUCAGAGUGUAGUAUCUUGUGGAUCUUAUCAUUUUCUUAAUAAGCUGAUACAAAGAGAGAAAUGCCUUGAGCCAGCUCUCCUGGAACACACUGCAGAUGGAUUUGUGGAUUUUUUUUUUGUAUGUGUGUGUGUGUAGUUUUAAGGUUUUAGUACAGCCAAUUGAACAGUUUGGGGUGAAAUCCAGAUCAGGUCACUGGGGUCUGAAGGCCCAAUAACACACUUCUUUAAGUCCAGUGAUUCAGAAGAGCUGUGCUUGAUCAAGGGCUUUCAUCUUACGUUUUUGUGCGCUUGGCAAUAUCCUUUGCAAGCUGAGCACCCCGUUUGCCUUUGAACAUUUUCUCAGCCUCUUGACGUUCCUACGGUGAUACAUCACAGAGUUAAUGCGAAAAAGCACAGACAUCAAGCAGGAUUUGACUCCAUUCGGAAUGAGGGACAGUUAAGCACCACAGAGGAAAAGGAAUGUACUUGAAAUAAGAAAGGAACACAAGUUAGUCUGCAGUAGCAGAUUAACAAUCACCAAUUCUGUGCUAAUGACCAAAGUUUCUUUCAGCUCCUUUGAAACUUCAGCUCAAUGAUUAGACCAGAUCUUGAUUUCACAUAUAAUACCUGGAGCACAUCCGAGUUCUUUUUAAUUAAUCGCAAAAGGUGCUCUGAACUAGCCUGGGCUUAAACGCACAUCUUCUUGAGAUGAUCCUGUCGUACAUACAAUCCGAUCUCAACAUUUAUUUCGAUUGACAGGCCCAAUUCAUCAUGAAUAGUAACUGUUUAUAUGGUGGUGGGACUUUAUGACUAAAGGACAGAAAAAAAGCUAAGUGUGUCUCUAUAUCUGGUAUCCCUUUCACUCUCCAUCACUAUGUCUGUAGAAAUUUUUUGUGGCCCAUCAGAUUUAAUAAAAGCAUCUUCCAAGUGCUCCUGCAAAGCUACAAACUCUAGCAGUAGCAUCACUGGCCUAUAAACAAAGCUUUAAGGAAAAGCAGGCCAAUUCCAGCCUCAUAUAUCAUCACACUUGAAAGUCUAUCCUACCACAUUAAACCCAAUGCUUUCUCUUCCUUCAAAUCAAACACUCAUCAUUGUACCCUACCUUUAAUUUCACCUUCUGGAAAUCCAGAACACGUAUCUGUGGAAGUUUGUUGAUGACAUACAGCCUGUAAUGCUUCUUGUUGGUUACUGGGUUUCUUAAGAGACUG
Long non-coding RNA from Hemibagrus wyckioides, 4129 nucleotides. RefSeq lists it as uncharacterized. The transcript is spliced from 2 exons. Lineage: Eukaryota; Metazoa; Chordata; Actinopteri; Siluriformes; Bagridae. The record is from RefSeq and is a predicted model, not a curated record.